Molecule: ribosomal RNA, 299 nt
Filed under: uncultured bacterium
Lineage: Bacteria
Description: partial 16S ribosomal RNA
Rfam family: Bacterial small subunit ribosomal RNA
Source: RNAcentral
CCUACGGGGGGCAGCAGUGGGGGAUAUUGCACAAUGGGGGGAACCCUGAUGCAGCGACACCGCGUGGGUGAAGGAGCGUUUCGGCGCGUAAAGCCCUAUCGGCAGGGAAGAAGGAGGACGGUACCUGACUAAGAAGCCCCGGCUAACUACGUGCCAGCAGCCGCGGUAAUAUGUAGGGGGCAAGCGUUAUCCGGAUUUACUGGGUGUAAAGGGAGCGCAGACGGCAGUGCAAGUCUGGAGUGAAAGCCCGGGGCCCAACCCCGGAACUGCUCUGGAAACUGGGCGGCUAGAGUACUGGA